RNAcentral lists this ribosomal RNA (443 nucleotides) under uncultured bacterium. Its description in RNAcentral is "partial 16S ribosomal RNA". It matches the Rfam family "Bacterial small subunit ribosomal RNA", at positions 338 to 795 of the family's 1533-position model. The record is from RNAcentral.
CCUACGGGCGGCAGCAGUGGGGAAUAUUGGACAAUGGGGGGAACCCUGAUGCAGCGACGCCGCGUGAGUGAAGAAGUAUUUCGGUAUGUAAAGCACUAUCAGCGGGGAAGAAAGAAAUGACGGUACCUACCUAAGAAGCCCCGGCUAACUGCGUGCCAGCAGCCGCGGUAAUACGUAGGGGGCAAGCGUUAUCCGGAUUUACUGGGGGUAAAGGGCGCGUAGACGGUCAGGCAAGUCUGGGGUGAAAGGCGGGGGCUCAACCUCCGAACUGCUUUGGAAACUGUAUAACUGGAGUGCAGGAGAGGUAAGUAGAAUUCCUGGUGUAGCGGUGAAAUGCGUAGAUAUUAGGAGGAACACCAGUGGCGAAGGCGGCCCACUGGACUGAGACUGACGUUGAGGUGCGAAAGCGUGGGGAGCAAACAGGAUUAGAUACCCCGGUAGUC